This 857-nucleotide ribosomal RNA is filed under the name uncultured bacterium. RNAcentral's name for it is "bacterial SSU rRNA". It matches the Rfam family "Bacterial small subunit ribosomal RNA", at positions 9 to 850 of the family's 1533-position model. The record is from RNAcentral.
GAGUUUUGAUCCUCGGCUCAGAUUGAACGCUGGCGGCAUGCUUUACACAUGCAAGUCGAACGGCAGCACGGGCUUCGGCCUGGUGGCGAGUGGCGAACGGGUGAGUAAUACAUCGGAACGUGCCCAGAAGUGGGGGAUAACGUAGCGAAAGUUACGCUAAUACCGCAUACGUUCUACGGAAGAAAGUGGGGGAUCGCAAGACCUCAUGCUUUUGGAGCGGCCGAUGUCUGAUUAGCUAGUUGGUGAGGUAAAGGCUCACCAAGGCGACGAUCAGUAGCUGGUCUGAGAGGACGACCAGCCACACUGGAACUGAGACACGGUCCAGACUCCUACGGGAGGCAGCAGUGGGGAAUUUUGGACAAUGGGCGCAAGCCUGAUCCAGCAAUGCCGCGUGAGUGAAGAAGGCCUUCGGGUUGUAAAGCUCUUUUGUCAGGGAAGAAACGGUAGAGGCUAAUAUCCUUUGCUAAUGACGGCACCUGAAGAAUAAGCACCGGCUAACUACGUGCCAGCAGCCGCGGUAAUACGUAGGGUGCAAGCGUUAAUCGGAAUUACUGGGCGUAAAGCGUGCGCAGGCGGUUUUGUAAGUCUGACGUGAAAGCCCCGGGCUCAACCUGGGAAUUGCGUUGGAGACUGCAAGGCUUGAAUCUGGCAGAGGGGGGUAGAAUUCCACGUGUAGCAGUGAAAUGCGUAGAGAUGUGGNAGGAACACCGNAUGGCGAANGCAGCCCCCUGGGUCAAGAUUGACGCUCAUGCACGAAAAGCGUGGGGGAGCAAACAGGNAUUAGAUACCCUGNUAGUCCACGCCCCUAAACGAUGUCUACUNAGUUGUCNGGGUUUUUAAUUAACUUGGUUAACGCA